AUUGAACGCUGGCGGCAGGCCUAACACAUGCAAGUCGAGCGGAUGAAGGGAGCUUGCUCCUGGAUUCAGCGGCGGACGGGUGAGUAAUGCCUAGGAAUCUGCCUGGUAGUGGGGGAUAACGUCCGGAAACGGGCGCUAAUACCGCAUACGUCCUGAGGGAGAAAGUGGGGGAUCUUCGGACCUCACGCUAUCAGAUGAGCCUAGGUCGGAUUAGCUAGUUGGUGGGGUAAAGGCCUACCAAGGCGACGAUCCGUAACUGGUCUGAGAGGAUGACCAGUCACACUGGAACUGAGACACGGUCCAGACUCCUACGGGAGGCAGCAGUGGGGAAUAUUGGACAAUGGGCGAAAGCCUGAUCCAGCCAUGCCGCGUGUGUGAAGAAGGUCUUCGGAUUGUAAAGCACUUUAGGUUGGGAGGAAGGGCAGUAAGUUAAUACCUUGCUGUUUUGACGUUACCAACAGAAUAAGCACCGGCUAACUUCGUG
RNAcentral lists this ribosomal RNA (484 nucleotides) under uncultured bacterium. RNAcentral describes it as "partial 16S ribosomal RNA". It matches the Rfam family "Bacterial small subunit ribosomal RNA", at positions 30 to 507 of the family's 1533-position model. The record is from RNAcentral.